AAUUACAUUGUCACCUACAAAAGGAAAUAUUAAUGAAACGCUUCGUCAGUUGGCGGAACAAAUUUGCGGAGGAUGGCUGCCACAUCGACAUUGUUUUCUACCCACAUCGGAAGUCGAAUGACAAGUUUUGGCGUUUCCUUCACAAGGGCAAGUGUUGGAGGACAAAUUUCUGGUGGGAAAACCUUCACUAUGUUGCGGUGAACGAUAUUCAAGUACGGGUUCGUCCCAAACGUUAACUCCCGCAAAAUUUUAGUAUUCAUUAUCACUUUACCACUCAAUUCUAAAAACCAACCAAAAGGAGUCUUCGAAAUCAGUGACCAUUGAUCAUCUGUCAAGUGUUCGUUCAACGUGCAAACAUACAUGGUUGAAAAAUAGUGACGCACCGUCAAUUGCUCAACCAAAACAAAUCAAAUGUAAACACAGAACCAAAUUAGAAACAAACCUAAAAAGGGUCGAAAAACCCACAAAGAAACCAAAAACAAAGAACACAAGACCCCAAAACAAUUACACAAAACACAAAAACGCACUACCCUUACCACAACAUCAACGAUGACGAACACAAAUCAAAAACCCAAAACAAAAAAACACUAAACCCUCACCACAACAUCCACAACGCAAGACCACAAAUCAAAAAUCCAAAACCCAACAACGCAAACCCAAAACCCAACAACGCAAAACAAAAACCCAAAAGUCGAACAACACAAAAACCCAAGUACCCUAACAAAAAACCCAAAACCCAACAAUGCAUUUACCUUCCUACAACGAAGCUGUUGUUCAGGACUUUCCAUUUCCACCAAACGCCAACAACGGGGAACCAAAAACCAAACGUCACACAGACCAAGCAGGGGGCAACCACAAGGCAGGGAAGAACGAAAUGAGAGAGAGAACGAAAUCUAAGACAAAACGCAAUGGAACAGGCAAAGGGCAUAUUUGGAAUAGAAAAUUUUCCAAACUCUAUUCAUUUUGAUUCACAAAUUUAAAAAAAAAAAAAAAAACCAACCAAUGCCAGCUUGACACGUGUGUGUGUCAAAACCAUGUCAAAAAAGUUGUGUUAAAAUACCGGCAUCUAAAAUAUACGUAGAGACGUUUUCCAUUGUAAGACGUGUGAUCCUAUCAUCAGGUUUUUGCAUUUCAGUGCUCAUAAAGCAAGACACGUGCACUCCAUAAAAUGUGCCAAGUAAUCGUGCUCUCUUACCUCACACCAUAAUAAAAACAUUAACAAAAUCAAUCUAACAUAUUUUAAUAAAUGAAAAAAAGAAAAUAAAGAACAAAAAAGAUGAGAUUGAUUUCCACGGCACACGAAUUGUCCACGGAAUGGCUUACAAUCCUUAGCCAUUAAGGCAAACACACUGACUUUGACAAAGGCAGAGACAGAGAAGAAGAACUCAAUAAAUAUGACAAUAAUUAAUUAAUUAAUUAAUAAUUCAGUUUCUUCUACCUUCUCUCCUUUAAUUUCCAUCUUCUAGUGGAUUCCAACUCUCUCUUUGUCUUUUUCUUCUUCUUCCAAAUCAAAUAUGCAAAAUAUCAUUUCACUAAGCAAACACUAACACGCAUUCUUAAUUAUAAACUAAACCAAAUUAGGGUUCCCAUUUCUCAUUACUAUUAUUUUACCAAAUAAACUAUAUUCUUCCAUUGCC
Molecule: long non-coding RNA, 1637 nt
Filed under: Vigna radiata
Lineage: Eukaryota; Viridiplantae; Streptophyta; Magnoliopsida; Fabales; Fabaceae
Description: long non-coding RNA (VRAD_LNC004028)
Source: RNAcentral